This 519-nucleotide ribosomal RNA is filed under the name uncultured bacterium. Its description in RNAcentral is "partial 16S ribosomal RNA". It matches the Rfam family "Bacterial small subunit ribosomal RNA", at positions 355 to 864 of the family's 1533-position model. The record is from RNAcentral.
UGGGGAAUUUUGGACAAUGGGCGAAAGCCUGAUCCAGCAAUGCCGCGUGUGUGAAGAAGGCCUUCGGGUUGUAAAGCACUUUUGUCCGGAAAGAAAUCCUUGGCUCUAAUACAGUCGGGGGAUGACGGUACCGGAAGAAUAAGCACCGGCUAACUACGUGCCAGCAGCCGCGGUAAUACGUAGGGUGCAAGCGUUAAUCGGAAUUACUGGGCGUAAGCGUGCGCAGGCGGUUUGCUAAGACCGAUGUGAAAUCCCCGGGCUCAACCUGGGAACUGCAUUGGUGACUGGCAGGCUAGAGUAUGGCAGAGGGGGGUUAGAAUUCCACGUGUAGCAGUGAAAUGCGUAGAGAUGUGGAGGAAUACCGAUGGCGAAGGCAGCCCCCUGGGCCAAUACUGACGCUCAUGCACGAAAGCGUGGGGAGCAAACAGGAUUAGAUACCCCUGGUAGUCCACGCCCUAAACGAUGUCAACUAGUUGUUGGGGACUUCAUUUUCCUUAGUAACGUAGCUAACGCGUGAAG